UAUUCUUUGCCACCGGGUAAAGAAUGUACGGUGUUCAAAACAUUCCGUCAGGUCUUAGCAGGAAUGUUGUUUGAACGCUUUUUUUUAU
RNAcentral lists this non-coding RNA (88 nucleotides) under unclassified sequences. The record is from RNAcentral.